ACUGCAGUACAUCGCUAGGAGCCUCAGUAUUCAUCAUCUGAUACAACCCUCGUUGAACAUAGCAGACAUUAUAUAUGGAUAUGACAAAUAAUAUAAUUUUAGUCCAAUUCUUUUAGUGUCAAAUCUGUGUAAAAAGCAUCCAGUGUUUGAAUGCACCAUGCUACACUGGAGGAAUUUGUUUAUUUGUGCAUUUGGAUGUGUGUUUUUAAUAUGCAUCUGUCUUUCAGAGGCAAAAAAGCCACCCGUUGGAUUGAUAUCACCUGGAAACUCACAAACUGAGAGCAACUCAGGCCUUAAUUCCACUGGUUUGAAACACAUCCAGUACAUCACUAGCAGAACAAGAAUACAGAUUGAUUUAAGUGGGCCAAACGUGUGCGGAAUGAGAUGCUGUCCUGGAUGGAUCAUUCAUCCCAAGACUAAAAAAUGCACAAAACGUGAGUGAUUAAGUUUAAAAUCUUGUGAAACUCUAUUCAUAUAUAGUAUAUUUAUUAUAUAUUUUUAAUAAUGAAAGCUAUGUGCCCAAAACCCUAUCUAUAAUAACGAGACAAACAGAGGGAAUAUUGCAACAUUGCUGUUUUAUGGAUGGAUGAGACCAAAAUAUAACUUUUUGGUUUAAAUGAGUAGUGCUAUGUUUGGAGAAAGGAAAACACUGUAUUCAAGCAUAAGUACCUUAUCGUAUCUUUGAAACAUGGUGGUGGCAGUACGAUGGUUUGGGCCUGUUGUGCUGCAUCUGGACCAGAACACCUUGUUAUAACUGAACAAUGAAUUCUCAAUGAUACCAGUAAAUUCUGAAGGAAAAUUUCAGGACAUCUGUCCUUGAACUGAAUCUCAAGAGAAUAUGAGUCAUGCAGCAAGACACUGACCUUAAGCACACAAGUGGUCCUGACCUUGAUCCAAUAGAAAUGUUGUUUAAGGACCAGUUCAUGUGAGGAAACCCAUAAUAUUGAAGUGGGGGGUAAUGAAUGUAGUAUGCAAAAUUAUUUUACAAAUAAAAAAUGUAAAAGAUUUGACUGCAUAAAUAUUGACCCAAGUAAAUGUAAACCCCUAAAUUAGUUAUAGAGUAAACCACUUGCCAUCAGAAAUCAUAUAAUUAGCUGAAUGGAGUCAAGCUGUGUGCAAAUAAAGUCUAUUGUAAUAUUAAUUUGUAACAGUACAAAAUGUUGAAAACUGAAAGGGGGGGUGAAUACUUAAGCAGUAUUUGCAAUGGAAAGAGUGUUAACAGCAACAGCAACUAGGGUAAUAAUAUCAAUCUAACAAGCUCUCUUUCUCUCUGCAGCAAAGUGUUCUCCUUAUUGUUAUAACAGAGCCAUGUGCAGAAAGCAAAGCCUGUGUCGGUGCCGUUUAGGUUCUCAGCACUGUAAACAGAAUCAAACAAUCUCUUCAUCUGAAAUUUCAUCCACACCUGUAACUGUGCCAGAAGCCAUGCCCACAUACAAAACCACGCCUUCACCUGUGCUACCCACACCAGUCACGACUGACUCAAACAUGGGGAAAUAUUCUGUACGCUGGAAGCCUCUAAGGUAUUUGGAUCAUUAUCCUGCAGGAUGAUUCAACCACGGCCCAUUCACACCUGAGACCUUGUAAGACUAACAAGUCACAUGACACCGAGGAGAGAAAAUGGCUAAUUGGGCCCAAUUUGGACAUUUUCACUUAGGGAUGUACUCACUUUUGUUGCCAGCAGUUUAGACAUUAAUGGCUGUGUGUUGAGUUAUUUUGAGGGGACAGCAAAUUUACAGUUACACAAGCAGUACACUCUCUACUUUACCUUGUAGCAAAGUGUCAUUUCUUCAGUGUUGUCACAUUAAAAGAUACAAUCAAAUAUUUACAAAAAUGUUAAG
Molecule: RNA transcript, 1838 nt
Organism: Ictalurus punctatus (channel catfish)
Lineage: Eukaryota; Metazoa; Chordata; Actinopteri; Siluriformes; Ictaluridae
Exons: 3
Source: RefSeq, a predicted model, not a curated record